Molecule: unclassified non-coding RNA, 1053 nt
Filed under: Hevea brasiliensis (rubber tree)
Lineage: Eukaryota; Viridiplantae; Streptophyta; Magnoliopsida; Malpighiales; Euphorbiaceae
Source: RNAcentral
CAUAUCAACCAGGCGGGCACCUGGUUCCCCAUGGAUCACAACAUAGGGCACUCGCUCUGCAUAGCGUGGUUCUGCACGGGGAUCUGCUCUCAUUGCUUUAGUAGCCACGAUUGCUGCUGGAGGGAGUGAUGAAGAUGCCCUUGUACUGUAAGUGCCCAAGCGAACCUCUUUUGCAAAAACAAAAUCUUGAAGAGAUACUCUGCCAGAUAGAAUCCGUGUCCAUUGACGCUGCAAAUAUCCUUUGAUCUCAGAUAUGUCCUGAUGUUCAAAAAAGAGUCUCAAUGACUGCUCCAUCAUUUUGGCAACAGCACCACAUGUAUCUCUGCGAACAGUCUCAAUACCUUUGGCAUCAAAGACAGGCUCAAUUUGGUCAACACUCUCAUAGCUGUAACCAACAUAACGUUUCUUAGAAAGAAGGAAACAUGGAUGAUAGACUUUCUCCAUUUUCAAUGUGACAGGAUCAGGAUUCAUGGCAGUUACAGCAGAAGCAAUCUCAUGCCCAAUUUGAAAAGAUUCUUUGACAGUGCGUCCCUUGAGGAGGACAAACAUGCUGUCAGUGUCGCCAUAUAUAACUUUAGCAUUCCACUUAUCGUUUGCAUUCACCAAAGAAAUAGCCUUUUCCAGUGUGCUCCGGCCACAUUGAACAAUACUGUCGGCAAGCUCUGCACAAGGCAUGCGACCACUAAAUCCAGCAGCUGUAUAACCAUAGGUUACAUUUGCUAUCAACUUCAAAGCAAGUUGUCUUGCAUUAAAUAUCCUGUGAAGAACUUGCUGUGUGGGAGCCAACUUCUUCAUUGCUUGUUUCACCAUUAUUCUAGUUGAUAAUAUUUCUUCUAAUAACCGGGGCAGUAUGCCUUUACGAACCUUUGGAGGAACAUACAUAACACCAUUUGGAGUAAGCAGUAUUUUAUCUUUCAAAUCCCUCAGAACGUGUGGAUCUGGUGAAAAUGAACUAACCCCUAGUGUAUUUUCCUUCGAACGUGUAACAUUUCCAAGACAAGUACAAAAGCAAAGGUUGUAUGCAAUUAUCAUUGAUGGAUAAAGAGACUGGAA